RNAcentral lists this ribosomal RNA (343 nucleotides) under uncultured Bacillota bacterium. Its description in RNAcentral is "bacterial SSU rRNA". It matches the Rfam family "Bacterial small subunit ribosomal RNA", at positions 28 to 351 of the family's 1533-position model. Lineage: Bacteria; Bacillati; Bacillota. The record is from RNAcentral.
GAUGAACGCUGGCGGCGUGCCUAACACAUGCAAGUCGAGCGUGAUUGUUAUGAGUGGCGACUUCGGUCAAAGCGAGUAACAUGAAAGCGGCGGACGGGUGAGUAACGCGUGGGCAACCUGCCCCAUACACGAGGAUAGCCACUGGAAACGGUGAUUAAUACUCGAUAAGACCACGACACCACAUGGUGAUGUGGCCAAAGAUUUAUCGGUAUGGGAUGGGGCCCGCGUCUGAUUAGCUAGUUGGUAAGGUAACGGCUUACCAAGGCGACGAUCAGUAACCGACCUGAGAGGGCGGACGGUCACACUGGAACUGAGACACGGUCCAGACUCCUACGGGUGGCAG